RNAcentral lists this long non-coding RNA (641 nucleotides) under Homo sapiens (human). Its description in RNAcentral is "PREDICTED lncRNA (TCONS_00201987)". The record is from RNAcentral. Lineage: Eukaryota; Metazoa; Chordata; Mammalia; Primates; Hominidae.
GAGCUGGGAGCCUGUUGGCAGGUCCCUCUUUUUAUUUUCGCUGAGAGCUUUCUUUUACUAAAUGCCACCAUCCUUACCUUUCAAGGUGUCUGCGUGCCUAAUUUUUCCUGGUUGUUAGACAAGAACCCGGAUUUUAGUUGAACUCUGGAGCAAAAAUCCUGCAUCAUUUGUAGGUGGGUGUCAUUGUGACUGGCUGCUACCUCCCCAUGAGUCUUCUAAAAUAAAACCUGCAAAUUCACAUCUUCCCCAUGCUUCCAGAGAAUGCAUAUUCUUCCUUUGAAAAAAGAAAACCAGGUAGUCGUACAGUGUCCAGAAGGCAAAAGGACAAGUAUGCACUGCCCUACUUACCUACUUUCCACACUGCUGCACAGGAAAAUCUGACAGAGGACAAUAACAAACAUCUCACCAGCUCAUGCGUUCUUUUUUGAUCCUAAUUCCGAGAGACUCACCAAAGACAUGAAGAGAAAACAAACAAUACUUUUCUUGGAAAUAUUGUAAUUGCUGGUACAUUUGUUGUUCUGGCAUAAAGUAGAAAUUGUCAGGUAAACAUUGCUUCCUUUUGGAUCAAAAAGAAAUUUAACCAAAUAAAUGCAAGAGGUAUGAGGGAAGAUAAUGGGAAAUAAAUGAGAUUUGAGAAAUCA